CAGGGAGGUUCAUGCUGCAGGAACACUGGAGACUAGAAAAUAUCAGGGUUCUAUAAUUGUAGCACUUAGAGAAAGCAAUUGUAAAACUGGUCAAGGAAAGCCAAGUAAUUAUUUAGGCAAUUCAGACUUUUCCCCUCUUACUCCUUAAUGUUUUUCUUAAAAUUACCCAUGUUAACUGCUUUACCUCUACAGUGUACUUUGCCAUCAGUCUCUUCACAUUGAGUUUAUUUCCAUGUGUGAUUAAGAGGUGGGAAUUUUUGUUUUAUAAUAGCUAGGGAUUGAUGGUGGUAAUGACUGACUGAUUUGUGUCUCCUGAAUUGUGUCUCAAAUUCACUUGUUGAAGCCCUAACCUGCAAUGUGCCUAUAUUUGAAGAUGGAGCCUUUGAAGGGGGUAGCUAAGGUUAAAUAAAGUCAUAAGAGUGAAAACCUAAUCCAGUCUGACUGGCGUCCUUAUUAAGCAAAGAAAGAGACACUGUGGAUGCAAACACACAGAGGAAAGGCCAGGUGAGGACACAGGGAAGAGGCACCAUCUGCAAGCCAAGUAGAGGCCUUAAGACAAACCCAAUCUGCCAACACAUUGGGCUCUCAGCCUUUGGAAUUGUGAGAAAAUAAAUUACUGGGACUUAAGCCACACAGUCUCUGGUAUUUUGUUAUGGCAGCCUUAACAGACUAAUACAGGUGAUAGGUAUAUAAUAAAUGUGACCUAAUACAUAUUUCCAAUGCACAUAGUAAUUCUUUUUAUUAAAAAAAAUUCUUUUUUUUCCCGUCUUGGUAAUAAAACUGAUAUAUGUUUACUCUAGGUAUUUUAAAACAUACAAAAAUGCUCAAAACAUGUUAGAAAUGCUAAAGCCACUGUUUAGAAUAGCACUGUUAAUAUUUUAGUACAUAAUCUUUCAGGGUUUUUGAGAUAGGGUAGAGGGUAUGUGGGAUUGGAGGCAUAGGCCAAUUUUUGUAGGUGAGCUAAUUUGAGCUCCAAUUUAAAUUAAUAAAUAUGUUUCCUAUGUUUGCCUUCAAGCAAAUUGGAUUUGAAAACCUAGCUGAAAAUUAGGAAUUCUGUUCAAAUCUUGCCUAAGAAUGAAGCAAAAUAAUGAAGUAAAAAUAAUAUUGAUUUUGAUGUAAAUUUAAAGAAACAUGAUUAGAGAACUCUCUGUCCUCAACAAAAGAUGUUUAAUUGGCCAGAUCUUUAUUUGAAGUCCUGCAGUUUCCAUUUGUUACAUAGUCAAAUGCAGACAUGUCACUGUUUCCAAAAAAUGCUUCAGAUAGAGAAUAAAACCAAAGCACAUAUUUAUUUCCUAAAAUCAUGCUAUCAUUGAAAACUUUUAAAAAAAUUACUCACUGGUAAAGUUCCUAAAAUUACCAAAUUUUUGAAAUCAUGCCAAGGUAUUUAUAUACAUAAAUAUAUUAAUAGUUCUAAAUUCCAAUUAAUAUUUUAUUAGGGAUUCACUUGAUUAGGGAUUUAUAUGAUCCCAAACAGUAUACUAAGAAAAAACAAAAAAAGGAACUUUUGUUAUUUGGUAGCUACGAGGAACCUAAAUGACAAAACACAGUUCAGCAUUGAACCCAACUAUAUAAAACAAAUCUGUGAUAUGAGGACAAUAAUAAUGGUAAGGAUAAUUAAAAAUCAGAUCUCUCAUUACCUAUUUUAAGCCAAUAGUUUUAUCCUCCAAUCAAAUAAUCAUUUUCCCAGAGUUAUUAAAAAGGUACAAAAUGGCCUGAUUUGAAUUUCACUAACUUCUGGUUUUCCUUUAAUGACUAGAGAAAUAUUGUAGGCAAAACAAACUGGAUUAUUAGACUGAAUAAUCUAGUUAUUGAUAUUUUAAAUAUGGAUACCACUGUAUUAAGAUUCUCUUUUUUAUGAGUACCAUAUUCAAGCAACACAAUUCUAAAAGGUCAGGCUAUUCAACUAAAUAUGAAUCAAGACAACAGAAGACAAGACAGAUAUUUUGCCUGCUGUUCAUUUCAGAUUUGUAAGUGAAAAAACUCAUUAGAUCAAAUCUUCCUACUUUCCAAGCAAAUAAUGGUCUUAUCAAAUUUUUAUAUAUACACAGUAACAAACACAUUUAUACAAGUUUGAAGGAGAAAAAGUAGAAGCAGUUUUAAGUAAUCUCCAUUCAACCAAUUUACUGGGCUAAUGAUGCUCUCCAUCUUCCUGGAAAAGCAUACUGAUGGUUCCUAGGGCAAGCUACAUGUUUCCUGUUAAUACACUUCUGUCUGGCACACCCUUCGAUUUCUACUUGCUGCAAUCAGUGUAUGUUUACCAAGCUGAGUUGAGUUUGUUUCUAUAGUGGGUUGAAGAGUAUUUCUUAACAGUUCAUGUUCACCUGGAAGCCAAGAAUGUGAUCUUACCUGGAAAUGAUGUCUUUGCAAAUGUAAUUAAAGUAACUGUUGAGAUAAGAUCAUACUGUAUGUAGGUGGGCCCUAAAUGAGAGCAUGCUUGUAAGAGAUACACAGACACACAGAGAAGGCCAUGUGAAGACUGAGACAGAGACUGAAGUUUGCUGCUAUAAGACGAGAACACUUGGGCCACCAGAAGCUGGGAAGAUCAAGAAAGGAUUGAAGUCUUCCCUAGAGCCUUCUGAGGGAGCAUGGUCCUGCUGACACCUUGAUUUUGGACUUCCAAGGAGCAGAAAUGAUAUUUUUCAGAGAAGGGGCCUGUGGGCUUCACCAGAUUGUGAAAAGAUCCAUGACAAAGAAGCAUGGGAGUGCCCUGGUGAACAUCAGAGAAAUAUAUGUUCCAUGCCCAGCUUGGAGCCCAGUCUGGGGACUGAAUUUACAACCUUGAGAUCGUCAAUCCAAACAGGACAGCUAAAGAGUCAAGAUCAAGAGUUGGAUGCUUAACUUACUGAGCUACCCAUGAGCCCUAAAACCUCUUUGAUAUAAAGAAUAAUAUAUAUGUGUUAUAAAGUUAGAAAUACCUAGUUGAACAGAUUAAUUUCAUUUUUGACAUCUAGAAAUCUCAAGUGCAUGGGAGUGUUGGGCAAGGGGCUAUACAUUUGGGAAUUAUUAGCAUACAGAUAGUUGUUAAAGCAAUGGGGGAAUAUGAAAUUACUUGGGACAGCUGAGGAUGAAAUAAGAACAAAUACCUUAGAAAACUAAUGUUUGUAAGAAAGAAGGAUAAAGAGGAAACUAAGAAGAAAUAAUCUGAGAACGUGGAGAGAAAUUAGGAGAUUACGGUCAUGGAAGCCACUUGAGAAUAGAAUUUUAAGAAAGGCUUGAUCAACAGCGUUAAUUAUCAGAGAAUGGCCAAGUAAGACGAACAUUUUUGGCUGGAUUUGGCAAGAGAUCAAUGAUGACCUUUUCCAGAAGAAUUCUGUCGAGUGAUUUGGUGGAAACUGGAAUAAGAAAAUAUGUGGAAAUGGCUAUUGUAGAAAAUCAAGAGACUAGAACUUGAUGAAUCAUACAGUAGAUUCAGUAGCUGAGUUAAACUUCAAAUUUGCUGAUUUUUGUCAUGAUCAAGAAAAUAUAAGUGGAGACUAUAAUUCCUCCGAAAAUAAAAGUAGAGAAAAUGGUUCUAAA
Mustela lutreola (European mink) is the source of this 3516-nucleotide long non-coding RNA. RefSeq lists it as uncharacterized. The transcript has 3 exons. The record is from RefSeq and is a predicted model, not a curated record. NCBI's taxonomy places the organism in Eukaryota, Metazoa, Chordata, Mammalia, Carnivora, Mustelidae.